UAUAGGGUCUGUAGCUCAGCUGGUUAGAGCACCGUCUUGAUAAGGCGGGGGUCGAUGGUUCGAGUCCAUCCAGACCCACCAGAUUCACCUGAAACAACGGGGGAUUAGCUCAACUGGGAGAGCACCUGCUUUGCAAGCAGGGGGUCGUCGGUUCGAUCCCGUCAUCCUCCACCAAACACCUGUUUAUGGUUUUAAGGAGCUGAAGUACCCGGGUUGGAUAUGCUUUGAUGUGAAGAGAAGUUAGAAGCAAGCGUUUGCUUAAAUGUUUGCUUCUGGCUUUUUUAAGCUGGAUUGAUCUUUAACAAAAUGGAAGAAGUAAAGUGAACACACGCAUUUGUGAUGAGUGUGAUGUGUUCAAAUGGGUAGUAAUUGAUUGCAAAAUCGAAAUGUUUUAACGCGUUAAGUUCUGAUUCAGUUCUCUAACUGGAUUGGUAAUAAGACGGUUAACUCAAGUUCAGCAUCAUCUGCUUGGUGAUGUUGGAUGUAGUGCUUUAGAAAACCUGUAACGGAUGUCUCAUGCAUCACGAAGUCUGAAUAAGGCUCAUCUAGCCAGCUAACGCUGUCUGAUGUGUCUAAAAAGGGUUCAGGUUUUAACGUUAUAGGGUCAAGCGAAUAAGUGCAUAUGGUGGAUGCCUUGGCGAUUACAGGCGAUGAAGGACGUGGUAGCCUGCGUAAAGUUUCGGGGAGCUGGCAAACAAGCUUUGAUCCGAAAAUAUCCGAAUGGGGAAACCCAAUCACUAGU
Molecule: unclassified non-coding RNA, 742 nt
Filed under: uncultured bacterium
Lineage: Bacteria
Description: partial contains 16S-23S intergenic spacer and 23S ribosomal RNA
Rfam family: Bacterial large subunit ribosomal RNA (bases 603-742)
Source: RNAcentral